Molecule: ribosomal RNA, 484 nt
Filed under: uncultured bacterium
Lineage: Bacteria
Description: partial 16S ribosomal RNA
Rfam family: Bacterial small subunit ribosomal RNA
Source: RNAcentral
AUUGAACGCUGGCGGCAGGCCUAACACAUGCAAGUCGAGCGGAUGAAGGGAGCUUGCUCCUGGAUUCAGCGGCGGACGGGUGAGUAAUGCCUAGGAAUCUGCCUGGUAGUGGGGGAUAACGUCCGGAAACGGGCGCUAAUACCGCAUACGUCCUGAGGGAGAAAGUGGGGGAUCUUCGGACCUCACGCGAUCAGAUGAGCCUAGGUCGGAUUAGCUAGUUGGUGGGGUAAAGGCCUACCAAGGCGACGAUCCGUAACUGGUCUGAGAGGAUGAUCAGUCACACUGGAACUGGGACACGGUCCAGACUCCUACGGGAGGCAGCAGUGGGGAAUAUUGGACAAUGGGCGAAAGCCUGAUCCAGCCAUGCCGCGUGUGUGAAGAAGGUCUUCGGAUUGUAAAGCACUUUAAGUUGGGAGGAAGGGCAGUAAGUUAAUACCUUGCUGUUUUGACGUUACCAACAGAAUAAGCACCGGCUAACUUCGUG